GCAUUUGAGUAGGGGAACCGGUGUCGCCGGUUGAGAAAGCAUUGGUGAAAUGCUGACCCUUUGAACCUGAUCUGGUUCAUACCAGCGAAGGGAACGUCAAUGAAUACAAA
RNAcentral lists this non-coding RNA (110 nucleotides) under Bacillus sp. (in: firmicutes). Its description in RNAcentral is "Bacillus sp. TPP sequence". It matches the Rfam family "TPP riboswitch aptamer (THI element)". Rfam says of the family: Vitamin B(1) in its active form thiamin pyrophosphate (TPP) is an essential coenzyme that is synthesised by coupling of pyrimidine and thiazole moieties in bacteria. The record is from RNAcentral. Lineage: Bacteria; Bacillati; Bacillota; Bacilli; Caryophanales; Bacillaceae.